This 489-nucleotide ribosomal RNA is filed under the name uncultured bacterium. RNAcentral's name for it is "partial 16S ribosomal RNA". It matches the Rfam family "Bacterial small subunit ribosomal RNA", at positions 30 to 507 of the family's 1533-position model. The record is from RNAcentral.
UUGCACGCUGGCGGCAGGCCUAACACAUGCAAGUCGAACGGUAACAGGAAGCAGCUUGCUGCUUUGCUGACGAGUGGCGGACGGGUGAGUAAUGUCUGGGAAACUGCCUGAUGGAGGGGGAUAACUACUGGAAACGGUAGCUAAUACCGCAUAACGUCGCAAGACCAAAGAGGGGGACCUUCGGGCCUCUUGCCAUCGGAUGUGCCCAGAUGGGAUUAGCUAGUAGGUGGGGUAACGGCUCACCUAGGCGACGAUCCCUAGCUGGUCUGAGAGGAUGACCAGCCACACUGGAACUGAGACACGGUCCAGACUCCUACGGGAGGCAGCAGUGGGGAAUAUUGCACAAUGGGCGCAAGCCUGAUGCAGCCAUGCCGCGUGUAUGAAGAAGGCCUUCGGGUUGUAAAGUACUUUCAGCGGGGAGGAAGGGAGUAAAGUUAAUACCUUUGCUCAUUGACGUUACCAGCAGAAGAAGCACCGGCUAACUCCGUG